RNAcentral lists this long non-coding RNA (223 nucleotides) under Vigna radiata. RNAcentral describes it as "long non-coding RNA (VRAD_LNC009839)". The record is from RNAcentral. Lineage: Eukaryota; Viridiplantae; Streptophyta; Magnoliopsida; Fabales; Fabaceae.
AAUGGCUACUGUAAAAAUCUUGGUGCAAGAAAUUUUUCAUUUUGGUUGUUUUCUAGCUAGCCAAGUUUGGUGUUGACACAUGGUUAAGUCGGGGUGAAUGGUUCCAAGGAUUUGGGAAAUUUUCAAAGUUAUGGUUUUUAAGAUUUGAUGGCUGGAAUGCACUCUUUAUAUCACCAAAUGGCUCUUCUAAGAAUCUUGUUGCAAGCAAUUUUUCAUUUUGUUG